AUUCAAAAAUUAUAAAUUUUUUGAUACUACUUCACUUAUUCCACCACUAAUUUAUCACAUUUUUUAUAGUGGAGCAUUUAAUUCUAUACAUUGGACAUGACCAAACCUUUUUAUAAAACAAACUUUUUGUCUAUAACAGAUAAAUUAAAGCAAAGGCUUUAGUGCUUUUUUCUUGCCGGUGGAAGCCAAAAAUCCAAUUGAAUCCACCAUAAAAACAAUCUUAAAAGAAAAAGGACAAGUAUGACAAUAUCAAAAACCAUAGUCAACCACAUAGCCAAAAUCUCAUUGAAUGAAAAGAUCAGCAGAAUCCAAACAACCAUGGAUGAUACUGAACAAAUCACAGAUCCAUAGAUGCUAGAAUUCGAUUGCCUUGUCUUGCAUAGUCAAUAGAUGCGACCUUUAACUUCCUUUAUACCAUUCUCUCGUGAAUUUUUUUUUUUUAAACUUCCAAUACCAUUCUGCAUGCACAUCCUCAUAGCUGUAGAAUACUAGUUUCCUUC
This 500-nucleotide unclassified non-coding RNA is filed under the name Hevea brasiliensis (rubber tree). Lineage: Eukaryota; Viridiplantae; Streptophyta; Magnoliopsida; Malpighiales; Euphorbiaceae. The record is from RNAcentral.